AGAGUUUGAUCAUGGCUCAGGACGAACGCUGACGGUGUGCUUUAGACAUGCAAGUCGAACGAGAAAGCCCUUCGGGGUGAGUAAAGUGGCGAACGGGUGAGUAACACGUGGGUAACCUGCCCCUCGCAGAGGGAUAACCGGGGGAAACCCCAGCUAAUACCUCGUACGCUUGCCGGGUCGCAUGGCUCUGGCAAGGAAAGGUAGCUUCGGCCAUCCGGCGAGGGAUGGGCCCGCGGUCCAUUAGCUAGUUGGUGGGGUAAAGGCCCACCAAGGCGACGAUGGAUAGCUGGUCUGAGAGGAUGAUCAGCCACACUGGGACUGAGACACGGCCCAGACUCCUACGGGAGGCAGC
RNAcentral lists this ribosomal RNA (352 nucleotides) under uncultured soil bacterium. RNAcentral's name for it is "bacterial SSU rRNA". It matches the Rfam family "Bacterial small subunit ribosomal RNA", at positions 8 to 352 of the family's 1533-position model. The record is from RNAcentral.